Molecule: small nuclear RNA, 104 nt
Organism: Corvus moneduloides (New Caledonian crow)
Lineage: Eukaryota; Metazoa; Chordata; Aves; Passeriformes; Corvidae
Source: Ensembl
GUCAUGCCAGCAGCACAUGUACCAAAACCGGAAGGAUACAGAGAAGAUCAGCAUGGCUCCUGUGCAAGGACAUCACAGAAAUUCGUGGAGUGUUCCACAUUUUU